This 45-nucleotide non-coding RNA is filed under the name Schistosoma haematobium. The record is from RNAcentral. Lineage: Eukaryota; Metazoa; Platyhelminthes; Trematoda; Strigeidida; Schistosomatidae.
AUCCAGCUGACGAGUCCAAAAUAGAAUGAAACACGCGUUCUGAAU